GACGGCGCGAGCAGGUGCGAAAGCAGGUCAUAGUGAUCCGGUGGUUCUGAAUGGAAGGGCCAUCGCUCAACGGAUAAAAGGUACUCCGGGGAUAACAGGCUGAUACCGCCCAAGAGUUCAUAUCGACGGCGGUGUUUGGCACCUCGAUGUCGGCUCAUCACAUCCUGGGGCUGAAGUAGGUCCCAAGGGUAUGGCUGUUCGCCAUUUAAAGUGGUACGCGAGCUGGGUUUAGAACGUCGUGAGACAGUUCGGUCCCUAUCUGCCGUGGGCGCUGGAGAACUGAGGGGGGCUGCUCCUAGUACGAGAGGACCGGAGUGGACGCAUCACUGGUGUUCGGGUUGUCAUGCCAAUGGCACUGCCCGGUAGCUAAAUGCGGAAGAGAUAAGUGCUGAAAGCAUCUAAGCACGAAACUUGCCCCGAGAUGAGUUCUCCCUGACCCUUUAAGGGUCCUGAAGGAACGUUGAAGACGACGACGUUGAUAGGCCGGGUGUGUAAGCGCAGCGAUGCGUUGAGCUAACCGGUACUAAUGAACCGUGAGGCUUAACCUUACAAC
Molecule: ribosomal RNA, 553 nt
Filed under: Escherichia coli
Lineage: Bacteria; Pseudomonadati; Pseudomonadota; Gammaproteobacteria; Enterobacterales; Enterobacteriaceae
Description: partial 23S ribosomal RNA
Rfam family: Bacterial large subunit ribosomal RNA
Source: RNAcentral